Hemicordylus capensis (graceful crag lizard) is the source of this 330-nucleotide long non-coding RNA. RefSeq lists it as uncharacterized. Lineage: Eukaryota; Metazoa; Chordata; Lepidosauria; Squamata; Cordylidae. The transcript is spliced from 2 exons. The record is from RefSeq and is a predicted model, not a curated record.
CCAGCACAGAAUAUUCCAGGCUAACUUACCUCACAGGGCCAAGGAUAAAAUCAGCUCACGCUUGAAGCCUCUAUUUGCAGCAGCCAGCCACUGGUUUUGAGACUAAUCUUCUGAAAACAAGACCUAAAAGGGCUCUUUCCUGAAAUCUGCUGGGAAAGAACAAGUCAAGUCAUUUAUUUGAAGUGUGAGCAAGACUUGGUGAAUAUACUUUUCACAGUUUCACUUUUACAUUCUUUUGUGACGAUCAGUGUGAAAUAAAUAUGUAUGCUCAAUAUUUACACAUAUUUAUAUUUUGAAUAAAAUUGAAGAACUAUAAUGAACAAAACUGAA